This is a non-coding RNA of Myotis brandtii (Brandt's bat), 107 nucleotides long. NCBI's taxonomy places the organism in Eukaryota, Metazoa, Chordata, Mammalia, Chiroptera, Vespertilionidae. The record is from Rfam.
CGUGCAUCAGUGGGGUCCCUUGGCCUGGCCUGUGCCCCUUGGGGGAGUCAGAGAGCCAGUUUCAGCCCGAUCCCACAGGCCAGGCCAAGGGACCCCACUGGUACACA